Molecule: ribosomal RNA, 485 nt
Filed under: uncultured bacterium
Lineage: Bacteria
Description: partial 16S ribosomal RNA
Rfam family: Bacterial small subunit ribosomal RNA
Source: RNAcentral
GAUGAACGCUGGCGGCGUGCUUAACACAUGCAAGUCGAACGGGAUCCAAGGGGUGCUUGCACUUUUUGGUGAGAGUGGCGAACGGGUGAGUAACACGUGAGUAACCUGUCCUUUUCUUUGGGAUAAGCAUUCGAAAGGGUGUUUAAUACCUUAUGUUCUGUCUGCCUCGCAUGGGGUGGGUGGGAAAGGCUUUGGCCGGAUUUGGGUGGGCUCGCGGUCUAUCAGCUCGUUGGUGGGGUGAUGGCUUACCAAGGCUUUGACGGGUAGCCGGCCUGAGAGGGUGGUCGGUCAGAUUGGGACUGAGAUACGGCCCGGACUCCUGCGGGAGGCAGCAGUGGGGGAUAUUGCACAAUGGGAGAAAGCCUGAUGCAGCGACGCCGCGUGGGGGAUGAAGGCCUUCGGGUUGUAAACUUCUUUUGCUCUGAACAAGGCAUGCCAGUGGGUGUGUUGAGUGUAGGGGUUGAUUAGCGCCGGCUAACUACGUG